UGUGUCGGUAAUUACUUCCUACAAAUUUAGAUUGAGUAAGGAGGCCAUUCAGAUUAUUCUCUCUCCUGGGGAAUGAUUGAAUGAAGACAGUCAUGCUGUUCGCCUUGUAGUGAAAGGUAAUGACUAGCAGAGGCAGACGGGGGCAUUAAUAACACAACGCUAGAUCAAUUAGAUUGCCGCCCCAUCAAUUGUUGACGGUAAGGUAGUGGCUUACCGUGGUUACAACGGGUAACGGGGAAUCAGGGUUCGAUUCCGGAGAGGGAGCAUGAGAAAUGGCUGCCAGAUCUAUGGAUUGCAGCAGGUGCGAAAAUUAUCCACUUUUGGCAUAAAGAGAUAGUGAUGAUAAAUAACGGAUCUGGGCAUUUGUUCAGAGAUCGUAAUGAAAUAAUCGUAAAAGCUUUAAUGAACGCAAUUGGAGGGCAAGUCUGGUGCCAGCAGCCGCGGCAAUUCCAGUUCCAAUAGUGUAUACUAAAGUUGCUGCAGUUGAAAAGCUCGUAGUUGGAUCUCGGCUUGCUAGCGCGCGAGGCGUGUGAGUAGGCCUUUGCUGUAGUUGAGUGCUACGGCUUUACCUUGAACAAAAUAGAGUGCUUAAGGCAAGCAUUCUGCUUGAAUAUCUCAGCAUGGAAUAAUAGAAAAAGACUUUUCUGUUGGUUUACCAGUAGUAAAAGUAAUGAUUAACAGAGACAGACGGGGGCAUUCGUAUCGCACCGCUAGAGGUGAAAUUCGUAGAUCGGUGCGGGACGAACUACAGCGAAAGCAUUUGCCAAGGAUGUUUUCAUUAAUCAAGAACGAAAGUUGGAGUAUCGAAGUCGAUUAGAUCUCGUCGUAGUUCCAACUAUAAACGAUGCCAACUAGCACUCCGCUAAUAAGUAUUAGUACGUUAGCGGGUUGCUUCCGGGAAACCAAAGUCUUUGGGCUCCGGGGGAAGUAUGGUUGCAAAGCUGAAACUUAAAGGAAUUGACGGAAGGGCACCACCAGGAGUGGAGCCUGCGGCUCAAUUUGACUCAACACAGAAAAACUCACCCGGGCCGAACACAGUAAGGAUUGACAGACUGAUAGCUUUUUCUUGAUACUGUGGGUAGUGGUGCAUGGCCGUUGUUGGUUGGUGGAGUGAUCUGUCUGGUUAAUUCCGAUAACGAACGAGACUCAGGCCUACUUACUAGUUGUUCGAUUGCUGGUCGAUCAACUUCUUAGAGGGAUCAGUGUUU
RNAcentral lists this ribosomal RNA (1208 nucleotides) under Pseudicyema truncatum. RNAcentral describes it as "SSU rRNA". It matches the Rfam family "Eukaryotic small subunit ribosomal RNA", at positions 157 to 1428 of the family's 1831-position model. Lineage: Eukaryota; Metazoa; Dicyemida; Rhombozoa; Dicyemidae. The record is from RNAcentral.